Molecule: unclassified non-coding RNA, 1526 nt
Filed under: Athalia rosae (coleseed sawfly)
Lineage: Eukaryota; Metazoa; Arthropoda; Insecta; Hymenoptera; Athaliidae
Description: misc RNA ENSAEAG00005010268.1
Source: RNAcentral
AAACGAUCCCCGGAUGAAGAGAAGGAACCGCAAACACCUUCGACCGACACGACGACGGUGAGGACGAGUGUCCGAAGAUCCGGAGAACAAAGACAACGGGGAUUUUCUCAAGUUUUUUGCUGACCGUUCACUUCGCCAGUGGGACAUCUCUACCGCAAGAUGCAGGGCUCAAUUUCGGGAAUCUGAAGAUUUCGGAGGGGCUGAAAUCUUCACGAAAUGCGAAACGGUCGCCGUUAGAGGUGGGUUUCGUGUCGUUCGAUCUGGAUCAGCGUUACAGUAGGCACUUCAACAUUCCUACAGCUGAGCCCUUACAUAACGUGAUCCAGAAUAAGGGGAUUCCUAUUGUGCCAAAGUCGAGAACGAUUUCAACGAGCUCAUCGAUUUUAAAAGGAAAAGGACCGAAAGCAGAUCACAUCUCACUACCCUUUGGAAAAGAGCACGUAAUUCUUCCUACGUUAAAAAAUAUUCACGUUAUAGAUCCGAAGAUCCUCGUCGAUCACAAAGAACUCCUCGUGGAUCACGCGGCCAACGUAGUCCUAGACCAGAAACACGUAAUCCUGGAACAUUCUCCCGGAAAAACUUUACACCUCGGACACUCCGGCGCUGCACCGAGCGCAGUCCUCUUGAGUCAUCCGGUUGACGGUCAUACGGUCAUUUUUGAACACAAACCGGUGCUGGUGGACCAACGGGGUCAAGAAACAAACGUCCUUAUCCACUCUGCCCCGAAGACCUUGGUCAUCGAACACAAACCCUUGGCGCACCCUCGUGAAAAGGACAUCGUGGUACACCCCAAAACGAUAGUUCUCGGGACCAGUAGGACCCUCGUACUUUCUCCAAAGAGUCAAAUUCACGAGAUAAUCGUUCAUAGACACGUACCGAAGACGGUAGUCGUUCAUCAAGCCGUCGACGAGGAUAGAAACAUUUUCAGAAGCCAUUUCGGAGGCUUCGGAUCUGGACUGAAUUACGGCGGACAUGGUGCCGGACAUGGCUUCCAUGUGCCUGUCUUCUGAGGUUACAGCUAGAUUAACCGCGGAGGGACACCUGAAGACCGUUUCCACAAAAGAUAAAUCAUCGUUUUUCUAUCAGGAAGUUGUGAGACGCUGUACCUAAGGAGUGCGAGUAUAAUUUAUUGGAUAGAAAUAAAGUUGAGAUUAUUCGUUCGUUCAUACGAUUAUUUGACUCCCAUGCGAUGUUCUUGAUUUAAAUUCCCGAUAAUGUGCAGAUGUGAUGAUUACACAUUUUCAGAAAUUUAUACACCGAGAUUCUAUUCUAUUUUAUUUUAACACUUCUUCGCAGGGGUUCUUGUCCUUAAUGACCUAUGAGAUAACUGUGGGCUGCAGAGAACAAUUACCACGCGAAUUCUAUCCACAGGAAAUUACGUCGUUAGGCUGACUCCAAAAGUUCUUUUAGAUAGAACAAGAUAAGAAUCCGCUUGUAGGAGAGCCGAUUAAAGAGAUAAUUAAGUUCGUAUAACAAUCUGGUAAGGUACAUAUAAAGUCCUUGCAUCGGUUUCAACAAUCUUAUUC